CCUACGGGAGGCAGCAGUGAGGAAUAUUGGUCAAUGGACGAGAGUCUGAACCAGCCAAGUAGCGUGAAGGAUGACUGCCCUAUGGGUUGUAAACUUCUUUUAUAUGGGAAUAAAACGUUCCACGUGUGUGAUUUUGUAUGUACCAUAUGAAUAAGGAUCGGCUAACUCCGUGCCAGCAGCCGCGGUAAUACGGAGGAUCCGAGCGUUGUCCGGAUUUAUUGGGUUUAAAGGGAGCGUAGGUGGAUUGUUAAGUCAGUUGUGAAAGUUUGCGGCUCAACCGUAAAAUUGCAGUUGAAACUGGCAGUCUUGAGUACAGUAGAGGUGGGCGGAAUUCGUGGUGUAGCGGUGAAAUGCUUAGAUAUCACGAAGAACUCCGAUUGCGAAGGCAGUUCACUGGACUGCAACUGACACUGAGGCUCGAAAGUGUGGGUAUCAAACAGGAUUAGAUACCCGAGUAGUC
RNAcentral lists this ribosomal RNA (460 nucleotides) under uncultured bacterium. RNAcentral describes it as "partial 16S ribosomal RNA". It matches the Rfam family "Bacterial small subunit ribosomal RNA", at positions 338 to 795 of the family's 1533-position model. The record is from RNAcentral.